Gallus gallus (chicken) is the source of this 13077-nucleotide long non-coding RNA. Lineage: Eukaryota; Metazoa; Chordata; Aves; Galliformes; Phasianidae. The record is from Ensembl.
UUCAAGGUGAGGCUGCACCAGUGCUAAAUAUAGGUGGGAGAAUCACCUACUGUGAUCAGCUGGCCAUGCUGUGGGCGUUCUGGUGGAUGAAAAGCUGGACGUGAGGCAGCAGUGUGCACUUGCAGCCUGGGAGGCCAACAGUGUCCUGGGCUGCAUCAACAGAGGGGUGGCAGCAGGGAGAGGGAGGGGAUUGUGCCCCUCUGCUCUGCCCUGGGGAAUGCCACUAGUGACCGUCCACCAGCCGGCUGUAACCCCAUCCACUACAAGCCUUUGAGCUCUGAUAUCAAACCUGUUUGUCACCCAACGCAGCAUGAUCAUGCUCAUCUUGCAGUAGAGCAAUUUGUCCAGAAGGAUACUGUGAGGAACAGUAUCAAAAGGCCUUUCAAAAAUCCAGAAGGAUUACAUCCACUUCCUUCCCUUCGUUCACCAAGUGGGUGACCUUCACAUGGGAGAUAAGUCACUGAAGACGUUCCCUUUUUGAAUCCAUGCUGACUAUGCCUGAUAACAGCUUUGUUCUCUAAACGCCUUUCAACAGAACCAAGGAUUAUCUUCUCCAUAAUUCUUCCAGGUACUGAGGUUGGACUGACAGGGCUGUAGUUUUGUGAGUCAUUUCUUGUGCCCCUAUGGAUGAGUGUAAGACCUUUGGAAAGCUGCUGAGAGGGAUCCAGCUAUAACGUCUGCUAAUUUCUUCUCUGAAUGAGAUUUCCAGAUGUACUCAACAUUAGAAAAUGUUUGUGAUGGUGAAAAUUCGAGUUUAUGGUAUAUGAGUGCACAUAUACAUUAAAAAUAUGAUUUUGUGUAUGUGACAAUAUAACACUGAUUUUAAUGGAAAAUCAUACAUCUUGAGUACACUGUCAUUACAGCAUUUAAAACUGCCUGUUUCAGUGUGUUUGUUGUUUGCACGUAAUGGCAUGCUCUUCUAAGUGACGAAGGCUAACUUUUUUUUUUUUAUGAAAGCAAAAUAAAGCCUUUUAUUACUUUCCAUCUCCCUGCCCCAACAGCCAGAAAUGAAUUGAAUUUCUCAGAACUCAGAGGAUUCUUUUGUUUCCUUUAGGCUAAGAGCAAGCAUGAAAGAUGUCAAGUGAGGGCUGAUGCUAUAUGCUCAAAGGGGCUGGGAUGUUUCCAGGCACGGUGAGUUCCUGCACGCUCAAGGGAACAUGCUGAAGAAAGCUAGCAGUGAGGUAGGACAGUUCCUUUCUCUCCGCUUUUCUGUAUGACUGGAUAAAUACAAACAAGAACCAAGUGAGCGAAUUAUUCUGGCCUAAUUUGGACAAGCACUUUAAGCAGUAACAGGUUCUCUAUGAAGUCAGUCAAAACCUGCAUGCUUGACAUCUUUAUGUUGUGUUGCCAAGAUCUUAUCCGAUUUCUGAACACGUAAGAACUCCACUGCUGGGUCGGUCUCUUUUCUGUUCUCCUCCCCCUAGAGUAUACUUUUAGGGCUGUGGGGCUACUUCAUUCAAAGUUAGAGUUCAAGAUCACAAGUAAUAAGGCCCAAGUUUUGAAUCCUCAACUCUUGCAGGUUCAAAAUUUAUCAGAGGCAACAGGCAUGGUGUAGGACUGACAAUUGUGCUUUCCACAUAAAACAAGGCAAAAGCCUUGUAGUAGGCAGAGAUAAAAAGCAGUUCCUCAAAGACCAGAAGAUAAUGAAUAAAUGUACCUCAUCCCCUUGCAUCACCCUAAAGGCAGUAUAAAGUUUGCCAGUGAGAAUCCAACCAAACAUGAGUCGGAAACCUCGUCUCAUUAUUUGUACAGAUACUUACUGAGAUAAAAGAGAUCAUAAAGCACUUUGAGGUCUGCAAACUGCCUGAUGCUGCAGCAAGAGCAAUCCUUUCCUACCAUCUCCUGUGUGACUUGGAAGGCUCUCAGCAAGCCCAGCUGUGCUUAGCUCUAUAAAAAGCAGUCAGGAGCAGCAUAUUUAGAGAAAAACCAGCAUGUGCUACCAUUGUCAAGAGCUGAUUAAGUUUUUUUGUUUCCCUUAGAGCAUUUCAGAAGACCAAAGUAUUUUUUUUCGUGGAGAAAAAAAAAUGAAAUGAGAAACCACAACUUUGGGAUCUCCAAAGGCAACUGAAAAUUUGGAUGAUGCCGGGCUAUGGGAUGGAAUAAGCUGCUCUUUCUACACAUGGAUAUGUUCUGGGAAGAAAGGUGACUUUUUCUCCUUACGCGUCACCAAAGACUCACCCUGAUUUGGGGUUGUCAGGUACUGGGGAGAAAUGCAAUUUAUUCUGAAGAUGAGACAGUCUCUCUUGGGUUUUAUAACUUUCUGCGCUAGUAGAGUUGGUUACUAUGUGUACCAUUAUCUCCUUCUUUGGCAGACAAAGAUUGCAGAAGAUGACAACAAUAAUUUAGAUAGCUUAACAUUAAAAAAAAAAAAAAGCUUUUCUAGAUCCUAAUUUACUUGUUAAUUAUUAAACUUCAACCCUGCAGAGUGAUAUUUUCCAUUCCAGAGGUUUGUUUCAGAGUGGAGUGUCAAAAGUCAAAUGACAAAUGUUUUGCUGAAUCUGUAGUUAGGAAACUUGCUAUUUCUGCCAAUGUGAAAAAGACUCAGAGAGGAGGGAGGAUGAUGCCAUUGGCCUGGAGCAUGGAGGUGGCAGCAGGGUCAGUGGUCUGGCAAUAGCUGAACUGCAACUGAGGCAGUGGAAGCUGGACUAGAGGAGCCAGCACUGACUCUGAGGCUCUCCAUUUCUUUUCUGUUGGCCAGCAUGUGGCUCUGACAUAGAGUUUUGCCCUUCCUUGGGAUGUAGCCAUGUUGGCAGCCUUGGUGAUGCUGCAGAGCCUAGCAGUCCCAUGACACUGAGGGCCCUCUCCAGACACGGCCUAUGGUGUCCGUGUUGGCCCUGGGCAGCUUAGUGGAGGUGCCUUUAAAUCCCACAGGCCCUGGUGACAGCUAAUAUUUGGGCCAAUCUGGGAGGGCUGGGUGUUGGUCCACCUACAUCAGUCAUUUAUCAACUCAUGGGACGUGCCCACAGUGUGAGGGCCUGCACACGUGCAACCAUGUGGUUGUGGACUCUGAAGCCUGGGGCUUUCUUACCAAAAAGUGUGUGUAUUAAACAUGAGGCUGGUGUGUCCACGUGCAGAGCAGACAGGGUGCUUCAGGGCCAGUACUCUGAUGCUGUCUUUGAAGGUAGGUGACAUGGACAGCCUGACCUAGCUGUGGAUGUUGCUGUUCAUUGCAGAGGAGUUGGACUAGGUGGCCUUCAGAGGUCCUUUCCAACUCUAAAGAUUCUAUGAUUCUAUGACAAAUGAGUUUGUUCCUGGGUGAGCCUUGGGGCUGCUCUCCUGCAGCCCCAUGGAUGGAUCUUUGGAGGAUACAGGGCAACUACUUUAUUAGGUUCGGUGGUCUAUGUCUUCACCAUAGAUUUAAUGCUGUAGGAAAACAGAGAGAAGCCCCAGCAGUGGCUUUAACAGCCUGCACUGACCUGGGCCUGCCAGAAAGCCUGCAGUAAUGUUCCAUCCAGCGUCAGCAGCUCCACUCCUGAGAGGCACUGCGGUCCUCCAGACCUGCCCAGCUCUCUCUGAACUGACAUGACUCUAUGCUGAACCCUCGGGGUUGGUAAUAGCCAGCAGGACUUUAUUUAAUGACUGAAAAUACCACUCCUGCAAGGGAGAACCACCCAUACGCAUUCAGAGGUGCCUAUUGUGCCUUCAGGCAAAAUCCAAGGCAGCGCGAGCUGCACAUGUACCCUCAGUGACUAAAUAAGGGAGAAAGCUCUGCACAGGAGGGCUGCUCUGAAGAAGUGCUUUCACCGCUGAAAAUUGCAGUUCCUCAGGAAACAAAGUGGUAAGCACAUGAGUUAUAAAGGUCACAUGAAGCUCUCCAUAACAGACUCUGUGACAGGAGGUUGUAGCAAGGUGGCAGUCAGCCUCUUCUCCCAGGUAACAGUGAUAGGAUGAGAGAUAAUAACCUUAAGUUGCAGCAGGAGAGGUUCAGGUUGGAUAUUAGGAAACAUUUAUUUUCCAGAAGAGUGGUCAUGCAACGGAACAGGCUGCCCAGGGAUGUAGUGGAGUCACUGUCCCUGGAGGUGUCCCGGAACCGUGUGGAUGUGGCACUGAGAGACAUGGUCAGUGGGCAUGGUGGGGAUGGGUUGAGGCUGGACUUGGUGAUCUUAGAGUUCUUUUUCAACCUUAAUGGUUCUAUGAAUUCUAUGAUUCUAACAGUGUUCUCGAGAAUGGAAACUAAGAAAUAAAUGAGUGGCAAGAGUCCUACCUAAAGCGAAGGUCUUUACAAGUAUUACCCAGGGAAUUCCCCCUAAUUAUUGAACAUCACUCAGCUACUUGAGCCUUACAAUGGUGUUGCUGGAAUAAGCCUCAAAAACAAGAGCAAACUACUACUACGUGGUUUUCUGAGUCUUGCAAAUGAAGUUUCACAGUCCCAGUGCUGAGAUUCAUCUUAUAAUGCUUUGGCAUGCCUUCUACUAUCUAGAUACUUGUGCUCCAUCUAGUGAAUAAAUUUAUUGCUCAUCCUGGAUCAGCUUUGGCUGUGGAGAGGUCCUGGGGAAAAGAAAUGCAAUUUAUGAAUUUGACCUAUGCAAAAAUGGGAAUUACCCAGGAAGAUUCUAAGUCCGAUUUUACUGGAAGGGUAAGAAUGACAGUGAUUGUAGCUUCCAGCUGCUCAUUGACAUGUCUUUAAAUUCUUCUUAGAAGACUUGAGGGUUUUUCUUAAUGAAGUUUCCCAUGAAAAUCUAUUUGUUUUUAUAUUCAGUGGGCGGAUUUACUUGUUAUGUGAAGCAAAUGAAGGGGAAGAGGUAAAAUGAGAAAAGCUGGUUCAAGUACAUUAACUGUAUCUGUUACAACCCAUUUUUACUGUUCUUGUUCAGCAGCCAAAACACAUUCCUCUUUUAUAAAAGAAGGAACACAGGGGCACCAGCUCACAGAUCUUUAAUGCAAUAAAGUUGUCUGGAGAUGUAUGUGAGGGGCCCCAUGCUGCUGGGCACUGAUGAGAGAAGAGGAGAGACUCAGAGUGCCAGCAUGGAGACACUCCAGACCUGCUCUGGUGUCUGCUGAAGACCCUAAGAGACUCAGAGAGGUCUGGGUUUUCUCCUUCCUUCUUCCUUCCUGCUGUCCUUCUGCCUCUCAGACUGCCUUGCCUAACCUUUGCCAGACAUAUCUUAGAAUCACAGAAUUGUUUGAGUUGGAAUGGACCCUUAAAGGCCAUCUGAUUCAAAGCCCUGCAGUGAAGAGGGACACCCACAGGUAGAUCAGGUUGCUCAGAGCCUCAUCCAGCCUGACCUUGAGUCUCCAGGGAUGGGGCAUCCACCACCUCUCUGGGCAACCUCUUCCAGUACCUCACCACUCUUACUGUAAAAAACUUUGCCCUUAUAUCCAAUCUAAAUCUCCCCUCUCUUAGUCUGAAACCACUUCCCCUUGUUAUAGCACAGCAGACCUUGCUAAAGAAUCUGCCCCCUUCCUUCUUAAAGCCUCCCUUUAGAUACUGAAAGGCCACUGGCAGGUCUCCCUGGAACCUUCUCUUCUCCAGGCUGAACAGUGUGGUAUCUCAUGCCAUGUUCCACCUUUUCUUUUUCUCUGUUUCCAUAUUGAAACUGUGAGCGGGAAGUCGACACAAGGGGCCAUGAAAAGAAAGGCCAUGGUAUUUUUUGCUGAGAAUGUGUUUUUGGGGUCCUGUUUGAUACUCAUGAAAGAAAAUUGCUCUUUUCAGUUUUCCAACUCUGGGCCAGACCCAGGGGCUAGCAGACCCCAUAGUUGUACCCCACAGCCUGAUCUGCACCGGACACCUUCCUCUUGCUGCCGCUUUUGUCUUAAACCAGGCUCCCGUGUCAUGGUCCUGCUGGGUGUUGAAGCCUUCUAUCUGCCCCAAUGGCCCAGGAUGAUGGCCAUGGUUGGUGAGGUGGCUGGUGGUUGCCCAAAAGUGCUGUGGGGCUCACCCUCCGCCACCUCUCUCCUUAGCCCCUGGCCAUGCACGAUCAGACUGGAAGCAGCACAACUGAGAGCCAUUUGCUCUGUCUGAGUGUGCACGUGUUUUACGGAGUGGUGACAACAUGAUGUACACAUUUCAACCAGAUGUGAUGGCUGUGUAGCAUAGUAGCACCAGGGACGCUCGACUGCGCAGUAAGUGCCAUUUUCUUUGGGUAGAAGUAUCCUGAUUUUAUUUGAAAACUCCUGUUAUUACUUCUGAGUUUGCUUAAGCUCAUGUAAAAGAUAUAUAUAUGCACCAUAUAUUAAAAAAAAACACACACAAAAAACUUUUGCAAGUGUGCAGCUUAAAUACAUAGGGCUUCCAUGGCUGAUGGGAUUUCUGCUUUCAAGUGAAAAAAUAAUAAUUAAAAAACAGACUUUUAUUUUGAAAAGGGAUUUAUUAAGGAAAAUUCCCUUCUCCUAAAAAGAAGCACAGAAAGAUAUCAGUCUUGUUUUGUGUAUCUUAUGGCCAAAGUUAUAUAGGACUUACAGAGACUAGCUGACUGCUUUUGCAGGGCAUCUGCUGCUCUGUUUAUUGGUCUGGCAAUAAAUGCCAUAAUAACAAUAUCUGUGUGGUGUUCUGUGCUGUUAAAUAUCCUCAGAGCAAUUAUUUUCCUCGGUACCACUUUCCCAUUUUUUUGAACAAUAAGAAUUUGUGUUAUGAAUUCCAGGGGCUGGAAGCAGUGGCACAGGAAGUCUGGUCCCAUAUUUACCUUUCCCUGCAGCUAUGUCCUGGGGUAAGGAGGAUGGAGCUGGGCCACUGCUGGCAUGGGAGACUCCCUGGGCACACUGAGCUGAAGGAAACAAGUCAGUCCAGGGCACAGUUUUGUGCCUUCUUUAUCUCUAUUGACUCUAACUGGGUGCUAAAACCCUGCUUUCCAUAGCAGAGAUGAAAAUAAGAUCUUGACAAUAAAUGCUGUAUGAUGACAAUCAUGCUGUAUGAUGACAAUAAAUGCCUUUUUGUGCCUACCCUAAGUCAAGUCUCAGGUCAGGCUGUUGGUUUCUCCUGCUCACAGCUUUAGACUGACACUGCUUCUUGGAUUCUUCCAUUCUAGACAGUUUUUGUUAUUAGUUGCUGUUAGGUUACUUGACAGCUCUGUCCAUGAGGCGGCUUAGUUCAUUUGUCAGCAAUACCGUCCUUAUGGACAUUACAGUGGAAAAAAAAGUAGGUCAUUACUUACAAUUUCUAAGGAUCACGGGUUUUUCACUUAAUUCUGUGGUUUGGUGGCUUGCACAACCUUCACAGCGCACAGUGAAAACAUUAUGCUCUUACUGUAUGUGUCCCCCAUGUAAAUGAGCCUGAUGGAGGAGUCCCAUAAUCUUACCUAUGGGCUUUCAUGAACUCCAUGGUCUUUAGUGCUGACAUUAAGAACUCUGCACUUGCACUCCUGAUCUAGCGAGCAGAAUUGCAUUUGCAGGUAAAAAGAUAAAAGUCAGAAAUCUACCUAAAGGAAAUCAGAAAAUCUGCUCAGGAUCUACAUCUCUGGGAUAAGGAAUCAAUAGGGAAAAACAGACAGAAGGAAAUACAUGUGGGGAAAAGUUUGAGAUGAAUCAGAAAUUGUGGAAAUCUGCCUAUGAAAUGUUAUUUUUACUAUGACGCAAUGCUAAAUGCAUUCAGACUGCAAAAGACAGGCAGCUUAAAAUGGAGUACAGGAGCUGACCACUGAUUUUUUUUGACCCCAUGGAAGAACAAUGAAGAUGCUUUGGGGAAGAACAGCAAGGAGAAGCCCUCAAAGGAGAAGCCUUAAAAUUAUCUGACUGCCUGAGCCUUCUCUUGAAGCACAGGAGCUGGUGUAGAGCCCAUGAAGAUCUGUGCCACUCCUGAUCACUGCUGGCUCUGGCUGGUGCUUGAAUACUUGUAAUAGGGUCUAGACAAAGGUUAGAGAUGCUCGGAUUGGUAAGCUGUGCCAGGAGAGGAUUAGCUGGGUGUUAGGAAAAGUUCUUGAUCAGAGUGUGGUUGGGUUCUGGAACAGGCUUCCCAGGGCCGUGGUCGUGACCCCAAGCUGCUGGAGUUCUUGGACAGUGCCCUCAGACAUAAGUGUUGAAUUUUGUGUGUUGCUGUGUGGAGCCAGAAGUUGGACUCACUGAUCCUUGUGGCUCCCUUCAAGCUUGGGACAUCGUGGAAUCAUAGAAUGGCUUGACUUGGAAGGGACUCCAAGGAUCAUCAAGUUCCAACCCUCCUGCCACAGGCAGGGGCACCAACCUCCAAAUCUGGCACUCAACCAGGCUGCCCAGGGCCCCAUCCAACCUGGACUUGAACACCUCCAGGGAUGGGGCAUCCACAGCUUCUCUGGGCAGCCUCUUCCAGCACCUUACCACCCUCUAUGAAGAACUUUCUCCUGACAUCCAAUCUAAGCCUUCCCUCCUUGAGCUUAAAACCAUUCCCCCUUGUCCUAUCACUGUCUUAAUAUGCUAUAUUAUAUGUAUAUGCUAUGAUUCUGGGUUUCUAAGGAAAAGGAACAAUAGAACAGGACUGAGAACUGCUUUUAAGAGGUAGAAAACUUUCCUCGAAUCUUUUGGUAUUUAAUGCUUCAGUUUACCUAACAGAUAACCAGGCAUUUCCUGCUGUGAACACAACCAAAAGUUUUAGCUGUGCCUGGGAAAAUGUGGGUGAAUUAAAGAAGCUCAAGUGGUUCCUUGACAAAAGCACUGAGGAAGAUAAAUUACAAGAGAAGGCUGGUGAAUUUACAGAGCUCCUGGGGAGAAGAAAGCAAGAUGUUAUGUCUGGGGUGACAGCUACCGAGCAGACUUUCGAGGUGGCUAAUGUACCAGAGAGCAAGCCAUUUAUCAAAAGCAAAAGAGAUUGACUGUGAAGCUUUUUAAACAUACCACUGCUUCCUGAAAAAAAAAAUUAACCUGUCAUCAGAUGAGUUUUCUUGAACCUCUGGUCCUUUGAAGGUUUUAUGUUGGAGGACAUUCACUUCCCUUGACAUAGUCAGAUGACCCUGGGAUCAAAUCUGCCCUGUAGACUAGUCAAGAACAUUUUCACUGCUAUUUUCCUUGGGAAUGGAAGUGCUGAGAGGCUGUUCAUAUGGUGUCUUCUGCUUGGGCUAGACUGAAAAUAUCAGAUAUUUAGGAAAAAUAAAAAUAAUUCAGGAAGAGAUAAUAGGUCAGAUGUCCUGAAAUGCAAGUCCUGCUGGGGGGAACUGAAUCAGGACACAUUCCUCUUGCCAUGAAACAUCUGAGAGAAUCUUUGCAGACCACAAGCUCCAUCUUUACUGUCAUGUGAAAGACCCAGCCUCUGGCCACAAGAAGCAAUCCAGUCUUCUGAUCCAGACUGCCUGGGAAUCACUGCCAGUAGCUCUGCCAGGGCUUGGUUUCCCUUGGGAGACCUCUCAGCUGGGCUCCGUCCUGCUCUCUCUGACCGUGGCUGAGAUGACAAACUCACAGCCCAAACUGUCUACGACAAACGGGUUGUUGGCAGAAUCCUGUUUCAUUCAGUGUGCUUAAAAAAAUAAAUAAAAGAAGAAAGAAACCCAUGUAUUUUGAUUUUCUCCUUUAGUAUCCUAAACAUUCCUUUUAUGAAGACUAGAUAUCUAAAGACAUUUCCUUAUAAGUUCAAAGAAACUUUAUGGAGUCUGCAUGUGAUCUGCGUUGUGAAAAAAACUGCUUUUUCUUAAAAUACUGUCAGGAGGGAAAAUGCCCAGCAAGCUGACUCUGGAAAUGACUGAUGCCAAGUGCCUCCUCCUCCAGCCUGCACGGCCACCACUGCAGACAAAACUGUCCAUGCUGUGGUUCAUAUUCAUACUUACUCAUAUGUUGGAUAUUCUGAUCUGAGGCUUAUAUUUCAAUUUCUUUUCAGGAACAACAUGACUGGAACCCAAAGUGUCUGGGAAUUCAAAGACUAUAACAACACCUCUGAAUAUACAGGGCUGAGGAAGCAGAAUUCCUUCAUAUUAGCAAAAUCAGCUCAGUAACACCCUUUCUUCAAGUUACUUGACCAUCUCUCUCUUUCCUGGCUGGAUCUUGGCCCAGUGUUGGAAGUGGCCUCAUCUCCAGCCCCAUUUCAAUCUCCUGGUUCUCCUGAUGGGACCUCUUGCAUGGACCUGAACUUUGUUGAUCUCUUGCUCUGUCUGGGGCUGUUGAUGGAUCCCAUUACCAGCCCCUAGCCCUGCCCACAGUUUUAGCCCCCUUGGGAGGGCACAGCCCGCAUGGGGCUGGCUCCAGGCUCAUCCCCACUUUGGAAGCAGCCCCAAGCUUGUUGCCCCCUGAGAUCAAAUUAGUGCCAGGAUGAUCGUUUAGAACAUUAAGAGCUAAUAUUAUUGGUACUUGGUUUUUAUGCUUGAGAACAUACAGUGGAUGGUUUUAUUCUUCCACACUGUUUCUAAAAUAUUAAACUUGAUUAUGCAUUUUUAUUCAAAUGUUUUACUUGUUCGAAAAACUGAACAGUGCAAUUAGGCUCAGGAUAUUUGAAAGCAGUAGAAAAGUACAAAUACUACUGGCAGCCUUUUGUUGUUAUUUUUGCAAUUUAUUUAAUUAGUAACUAAAUUUAAAUACAAUUUUCCAACUCUGUUUUUUUAAUCUAAAUCGUUAAUGUUCUCCAGAUCCGCUCCAGGUUCACUAGACUGGGUAGAAAUUAAGGCAUUAUUUUGAUCCAGGGGAAAAUGCCAUGCCGAUUUAGGGCAUUCGUUAUCUACUUCCUUUUGCUCUUUUAUUUUUAGCUAUAUUUUGCAUUGCAUUUCUGUGUAUGUGUGCGUGUGUAUUUUAAAAUUAUUUUAGAAUUUUAAUUUUUAUGUGGCAUUGAUUCUUGGCACUGAAGUUAAAGGCUGGAGUUGAGCAAGCUAUGAAAUUACUGCAUCAGCACAACCACUUGAAAGUCUCUGCCAUGUACUCAGCUCUGCAUUUGCCAAAGCUCUCUUCAAACUCUCUACAGGAUCCUACAAAAUAUGUUCAUCAGCUGGGCAGGAGGGAGAAAGGAAGGGUGUGGUGAGAAUACCACUCCCUCAUUUGCCUGGCUAGCUGUGGUCCAGAGCUUCCUUACUGAAAUGCAAAGAGUUCAAAACUGUUCCCUGUAAGGGAAAUUGAAAGGUAGAGUCAUGAUAACUAAACAUGAAAAGCAAAAAAUGUUCUUUUCAGUAUGUUCUAGACCAAAGGAGCCCCCUGCAAGAAAUCUAUUUUACUAAGGUGAAGUGCAGAAGGAAUGAUUGCUGCUGCUUUGUUCAGGCAUGGGCUUCCCUCCAUGCUGCCUAACAAGGGCAAGUUUCUGGCUGGGAGAGAAACAUGCAGGGAAAGUCUACAUGCAUUGGAAAGGGAGAUCCUUGCAUUUCCCAGCUGGACUCUCUGUGCUUUGGGAAGACAUUCCAAUCAUCCUUAAAGCUGCGAUGUUCUUGUUUCAAGAAGAUGUUGUAAGUCCCAGGCAAAGGUGUCUCAGCUGAGUGCCUUUGCUUAUGUUGAUGUACCCUUCUCAGGUAAGACCCAUGAUCACUAGUUGUUUUCACAGCAAAAUGAAGGCCUGCUUGUAGCUCUAGUGGUCCCCAUGAGACAUAACCAUGGCACAGGAUGGAAGCCUGAGCUGUAUCUGUUCUUCUGGGGGAUUACAACAGAGGGUAGUCUUUGUGCACCAGGAGCCACAGACUGCUGUCUGGACCUCACUGCUCUGGUCAGGCCAUUGCCAACUCACUGUCCUGGAUGACUACACAGGCAGAAGAACCAUAACUCUUGUGGGUUCCACCAGAAAAUGAUGAUCAGAGGGCUGGAGCACCUCUCCUAUGAAGGAAGGUUGAGGGAACUGGGCUUGUUUAGGUUAGAGAAGAGAAGGCUCCGGGGAGACAUCAUUGUGGCCUUCCAGUACUUGAAGGGAGUGUAUAAACAGGAGGGGGAAUGGCUGUUUACAAGAGUGGAUAGUGAUAGGACAAGGGGGAAUGGUUUUAAACUGAGACAGGAGGUUUAGGUUAGGUAUUAGGAGGAAGUUUUUCACAAAGAGGGUGGUGAUGCACUAGAACAGGUUGCCCAAGGAGGCUGUGGAUGCCCCAUCCCUGGAUGCAUUCAAGGCCCAGCUGGAUGUGACUCUGGGCAGCCUGGUCUGGUGGUUGGCGACCCUGCACAUAGCAUUGGAGUUGAAACUAGGUGAUCUUUGAGGUCCUUUUCAACCCAGACCAUUGUAUGAAAAAACUGAUGUGCAUGGGGAAAAUGACAACUGUGCUUCCCAAUUCCUUUCCAAUACAAACCAUGACACUCUUAUUGACCUGGAGCAGAGUACAGAGGGUGAGAAGCCCUGCUGGCACAGCAGGUUGCUGGCAACACAUGUUCACAGAAUGGGACUUCUUUCUUGAUAUUAAAUUAAUGCACAAUGAAGUAUUAUAGAUAUUCCUUCUACAUCUUAACCACACUUAGAGGGCUUGCAUUAUUAAUGCCAAAUAUAAUAAAAAUGUUUUCUAAUCUUGAUUGAGUUUCUGGUUCUCAUUUGCUCCCUGGCAUCCUAUGUUUCACUGCCUCUUUCCUUCCCCCAUGUUUGUAUUAUGGUUCUUCUUUGUGUCUUUGACUACAGACAUCUGGGCCCUGUCCCUUUCAAGGACUUCCUUCAGUUUUUCUUCUGUUCUGAUGAUUAAGAAAUGUAUUUUGAAUUUUUGCUCUUCCUUUCCUUUUUGAACAUAUUGGUUUAUUUAUUUAUUUAUGGAGGGACACUGGAGGAGUGUGGGGUUGGAUCCUUGGUUCUUCCUUUUGCUUUAAUUGUCUGUCCAUCAUCUCCUAUUACUUCCUCUUUCCUGUACUGUGGGAAUCUGCACUGCGCUAAAUACAACACAAUGUAGCUGAUGCCAGGUUGUAUUAUUCUGUGUCCUUUGCUUUUGGCUCACUGCAAGGCAGGAGAAUAACAUGAGCCUCACAGAUUAUUGGAUCCACAAAACUCUCAAAUGCAGCAAAUUAACUCAUGCAAAGUCCUGCAGUGCUGUGUCUAUACUUGCUUCUACCAAGAACAUGGAACAAGAAAUCAGAGGCUGAGAAAGAGGACAUCUGUAAAAUGUAAUGUGGCAAAUGGGUCCAGAUCUUUGUUGGGGGAAGUGGGAGGUGGUGAAGAAAAUACUAUGAUGAAAAAUGCCUUCUAAAAAUCCCAUGUCCUGCUACAGAUGCAGAUUAGUACAAACUGUUGUUUUUUCUUACUUUUUUUUUCUAGUGCUUGAUCUCAGAGAUUGUUCAAAUAUUUCAUUGUGGCAAUAAGCUUUGUAGGAA